This 498-nucleotide ribosomal RNA is filed under the name uncultured bacterium. RNAcentral's name for it is "bacterial SSU rRNA". It matches the Rfam family "Bacterial small subunit ribosomal RNA", at positions 28 to 516 of the family's 1533-position model. The record is from RNAcentral.
GAUGAACGCUAGCGAUAGGCCUAACACAUGCAAGUCGAGGGGCAUCACAUGAAGUAGCAAUACGGAUGGUGGCGACCGGCGCACGGGUGAGUAACACGUAUGCAACCUGCCUUCAACAAGGGGAUAACCCGUUGAAAGACGGACUAAUACCCUAUAACACAGGGGUCCCGCAUGGGAAUAUUUGUUAAAGGACAACCGGUUGAAGAUGGGCAUGCGUUCCAUUAGCUGGUUGGUGGGGUAACGGCCCACCAAGGCAACGAUGGAUAGGGGAACUGAGAGGUUUAUCCCCCACACUGGUACUGAGACACGGACCAGACUCCUACGGGAGGCAGCAGUGAGGAAUAUUGGUCAAUGGGCGAGAGCCUGAACCAGCCAAGUCGCGUGCAGGAAGAAUGUCCUAUGGAUUGUAAACUGCUUUUGCAGGGGAAUAAAGUGAGCCACGUGUGGUUUUUGUAUGUACUCUGCGAAUAAGGAUCGGCUAACUCCGUGCCAGCAGCC